This 631-nucleotide long non-coding RNA is filed under the name Mytilus galloprovincialis (Mediterranean mussel). Lineage: Eukaryota; Metazoa; Mollusca; Bivalvia; Mytilida; Mytilidae. The record is from RNAcentral.
CACUUACAGGUAGCAUUUAAAGCUUGGGUCGUUUCAAAGUGUAAAUAUAAACCGUCGGUUUAAAACAAAGACUAACUCCUAUGACGUUUUUCUAUAGUUGAACAACGGGAUUUCAACGAAAUAUCGGUAAAAAAUGGAUUCUUUUCAGCUUGAGGUGGAAUCUCGUGCCAAUUUAAAGACAACUCGGACCACUUUUAAAGACAGCUCGGACCAGUUUGAAGACAACUCGAACCAGUUAGAAGUACUUUUUUUAAUGAGUUGUUACUAUAAACUGUUUUAUGACGGCCUAACGAGAUCAAUUAGAAAUAUAAAACAACAAAUUUUAUUCAAUGUAAUGAAAAUAUCAACCAGAUAUAUAUUCGUCUUUACAUAUACGGGCCCCUGUUGUAAUAAGUGAUCCUAGACAUCUUUCAAGUUUGGUUGAAAUGCCUUUUACCGUCAGGCGCCAAAUGGUAAUUUUCGACUAUCGUAAGCGUCAACUUGUUUUAAUUCAUAUUGUGGUUUGUCAAAUUAUCCGUAUUUGUCAGAGGUCUCAAUUAUUUAAACGUUACCAUUAUAAUUGGAAAACAUAUACCAUGAUCCGUCAAAAUCAGUUGAUUUUUUUUUAUCGUUAUGUAGAAUUGAACACUAU